Molecule: non-coding RNA, 32 nt
Filed under: Mus musculus (house mouse)
Lineage: Eukaryota; Metazoa; Chordata; Mammalia; Rodentia; Muridae
Source: RNAcentral
UGGGCUUAGUUCCCAGAGCCCCGCAGGUGUGU